Molecule: ribosomal RNA, 449 nt
Filed under: uncultured bacterium
Lineage: Bacteria
Description: partial 16S ribosomal RNA
Rfam family: Bacterial small subunit ribosomal RNA
Source: RNAcentral
AACGAACGCUGGCGGCAUGCCUAACACAUGCAAGUCGAACGAGAUCUUCGGGUCUAGUGGCGCACGGGUGCGUAACGCGUGGGAAUAUGCCCUUUGGUGCGGAAUAACAGUUGGAAACGACGGCUAAGAUGGGAUGAUGACGAAAGUGCACAGAUUUAUCGCCAGAGGAUGAGCCCAAGUAGGAUUAGCUAGUUGGUGUGGUAAAGGCGCACCAAGGCGACGAUACUUAGCUGGUCUGAGAGGAUGAUCAGACACACUGGGACUGAGACACGGCCCAGACUCCUACGGGAGGCAGCAGAGGGGAAUAUUGGACAAUGGGCGAAAGCCUGAUCCAGCAAUGCCGCGUGAGUGAUGAAGGCCGUAGGGUUGUAAAGCUCUUUUACCCGGGAUGAUAAUGACAGUACCGGGAGAAUAAGCUCCGGCUAACUCCGUGCCAGCCGCCGCCGUAA